This 93-nucleotide ribosomal RNA is filed under the name Caerostris extrusa. Lineage: Eukaryota; Metazoa; Arthropoda; Arachnida; Araneae; Araneidae. The record is from RNAcentral.
UUAUACCGGUUCUCGUUAGAUCACCGAAGUCAAGCAUCAUUGGGCGCGGUCAGUACUUGGGUGGGUGACCGCUUGAGAACACUGCGUGCCGUU